This 203-nucleotide long non-coding RNA is filed under the name Lathyrus oleraceus (garden pea). Its description in RNAcentral is "Pisum sativum (pea) long non-coding RNA (PSAT_LNC015140)". Lineage: Eukaryota; Viridiplantae; Streptophyta; Magnoliopsida; Fabales; Fabaceae. The record is from RNAcentral.
AGAAACACCCGUCUGGAACGGAGAAAGUCGGCCUGAUCACCGAAACAGGAACGUCGACCUGGGUACCAAAAUAAAUGGUAACACAGGGAUAACCAUGGCCUGAACACCACACAUCCGCUGGGGAUUAUUAUUAUUCUCUCUUUUUUUUUAUUUUCUUGAACCCCGGAAUUUUCUUUUGCUUUCUUUUUUCAUUUUCUUGAACC